Molecule: ribosomal RNA, 429 nt
Filed under: Actinomycetes bacterium
Lineage: Bacteria; Bacillati; Actinomycetota; Actinomycetes
Description: Actinobacteria bacterium partial 16S ribosomal RNA
Rfam family: Bacterial small subunit ribosomal RNA
Source: RNAcentral
UAGGGAAUCUUCCGCAAUGGGCGAAAGCCUGACGGAGCAACGCCGCGUGAGUGAUGAAGGUCUUCGGAUCGUAAAACUCUGUUAUUAGGGAAGAACAAAUGUGUAAGUAACUAUGCACGUCUUGACGGUACCUAAUCAGAAAGCCACGGCUAACUACGUGCCAGCAGCCGCGGUAAUACGUAGGUGGCAAGCGUUAUCCGGAAUUAUUGGGCGUAAAGCGCGCGUAGGCGGUUUUUUAAGUCUGAUGUGAAAGCCCACGGCUCAACCGUGGAGGGUCAUUAGAAGCUGGAAAACUGGAGUGCAUAAGAGGAGAGUGGAAUUCCAUGUGUAGCGGUGGAAUGCGCAGAGGUAUGGAGGAACACCAGUGGCGAAGGCGACUUUCUGGUCUGUAACUGCCGCUGAUGAGCGAAAGCGUGGGGAUCAAACAGG